UACGUAGGGUGCAAGCGUUGUCCGGAAUUAUUGGGCGUAAAGAGCUCGUAGGCGGUUUUGUCGCGUCGAAUGUGAAAACCCGGGGCUCAACCCCGGGCCUGCAUUCGAUACGGGCAGACUAGAGUUCGGUAGGGGAGUCUGGAAUUCCUGGUGUAGCGGUGAAAUGCGCAGAUAUCAGGAGGAACACCGGUGGCGAAGGCGGGACUCUGGGCCGAUACUGACGCUGAGGAGCGAAAGCGUGGGGAGCAAACAGG
RNAcentral lists this ribosomal RNA (254 nucleotides) under uncultured bacterium. RNAcentral's name for it is "partial 16S ribosomal RNA". It matches the Rfam family "Bacterial small subunit ribosomal RNA", at positions 524 to 776 of the family's 1533-position model. The record is from RNAcentral.